Molecule: long non-coding RNA, 3919 nt
Organism: Dermochelys coriacea (leatherback sea turtle)
Lineage: Eukaryota; Metazoa; Chordata; Testudines; Dermochelyidae
Exons: 3
Source: RefSeq, a predicted model, not a curated record
ACAAACCAUAAAAAGACAAGAUGGUCCAGCUUAAAACUAUACAAGUGGGCUGCUGCCGGUGCCGCCAAUGAGCCGCGAGGUGGCUUUGACUCUUGCUGCAGGAGUUCUCCCGCCUGUCCCCCGCAUCUCGCUGCCCGGCAGUUGACUUUGCCUUGAACCCCCAAAUUAAGCACUAUUAUCAGUAGUCUUGUAGCGCCACUGAGGAGGCCCAGUCAUAGAUGAAGACAGCAUUGUGCUAGGUGCUGUACAAACAUAACAAAGUCACAGGCCCUGCCUCAAAGAACUUACAGUCCAAGAUGAGAAAACAGCUGCAUGCAGGCAGAUAGGUGAGCAUAAGAAAACAGUAAAAGUAGUGGUGAGAGGGCAUGGUUACAGCAGCAAAUCCUGCCCCCUUUUCCCACCAUGCCCCUCCUGGGACUUUCACCCUACCAGUACCAGGUUGGGGCAAAGGUUUAGGAGCUCUCCUGUUGGUUGUGAGUCAGGGAGAAGGGAGCAGUUACCCUGAGCUACUGGGCUCUUCCUGCUUGAUCUAGUAAAAGGGGGUAAACUGUGAGAAGGUAAAGUUUGUUAAUGUUACAAAAUUAAGAUAGUUAAGUCUAAAGCACACGAUGAAAAGUUACAAAGGGAUCUCACAAACUGGGUGAGUGGGCAAAAAAAUGGCAGAUGAAGUUCAAUGUUGAUAAAUGCAAAGUAAUACACAUUGGAAAAUAUAAUGUCGACUAUACUUAAAAAAUGAUGGGGUCUAAAUGAGCUGUUACCACUCAAGAAAGUGAUCUUGGAGUCACCAUGGGUAGUUCUCUGAAAACAUCUGCUCACUGUGCAGCAGCAGUCAAAAAGCUAAAAGAAUGUUUGCAAGCAUUGGGAAUACUUGAAUACUGACACUGUUCUGGUUACCCCUUCUAAAAAAAAUGGAAAUGGAAAAGGUACAGAAAUUGGCAACAAAAAUUAUUAAGGGUGUAGAAUAGCUUGUAUAAGAGGAGAGAGAAAAAAAAUUGGGACUAUUCAGUUUGGAAAAGAGCAGCCAAGGGAGGAUAUAAUAAUAGCAGUCUAUAAAAUCAUGAAUGGUGUGGAGAAAGUGAAUAAGGAAGUGUUAUUUACCCCUUCAUAUAGUACAAGAACCAAGGGUCACCCAAUGAAAUUAGGCAGCAGGUUUAAUGCAAACAAAAGGAAGUGCUUCUUCACACAGUGCACAGUCAACCUAUGGACCUCAUUGCCAGCGGAUGUUGUGAAGGCCAAAAUUAUAAUUGGAUUAAAAAAAUUAGAUAAAUUUAUGGUGGAUAGGUUCAUUAGUGGCUAUUAGCCAACGUGGUCAGUGAUGCAGCUCCAUGCACUAGGUGUCCCUACACCUCUGACUGCCAGAUGCUGGAACUGGACGACAGGGGGAUGUAUCACUUGAUGAUUGCUUUGUUUUAUUCUUUCCUUUUGAAGCAUCUGCUGUUGGCUACUGACAAAAUGGGAUGCUUUGACUAGAUGGACCACUGGUCUGACUCAUUCUGGCUGUUCAUUCCAUUCCAGCAAGAAUGAUGUUGACUCCUGAGAGUGAAGCGCUCUGUCCACCUCCUUCAUAGGCUUGGCAUGCUGGUCAAUUGAGGGUAUCGCUACACUGCAGCGUAAGACCUGGGUUACUGGGAUUUGAGUUCAUGAACCCUGGGUUUGAAAGCCCAGGGCUUGUGUGUCCACACUCAUUGGUGACCCUAGGUUAAGAAUUUUUUAGCUUGGAUCCCCCAAUGUAACCCCUUUUGCCUUGGCUUAUGGAACCAUAUCCUGAUCUCAGAAAGCUUGGCAAAAGAAGAUUUAAUUGCACUCUCAGCAGAUGUAGAAUGGUGAUUGAAUGCGAGUUUGGCAGAUUGAAAUCCUUCUGGCGUUAUCUACAAACCUGUUUGGAUUCCACUGUCAUCAAUACUGUCUGCAUUUUUGUGACUUGCUGUGCCCUUUGUAAUCUUUAUGAAGCCAAAGAUGAGCCCUUUACCACUGAAUGGACCUAUGACAGUGAUGGAUUGCUGAAUUAGUAUACUCAAUCAGAACUGCACCUAUCACAUCUGAGGCAGGAUGCACCCGAACAACAGAAAUCAGGGGUGCUCUGUGCUCCCAUGUUGAGAACAUGGAUGGGCCAAUGGAAGAUGGAGAAUAAUACUUUUAUGAACGUUUUUCUACAGCAUUGUUUACAGUAAAUGAGGUACUAUGACAUCACACAAUGAAAUGGGGUCAGGGGAUGGGCUGUAUUGUCAAUGUACAGAGUGAGUAGGGGGAGGUAUUGAUUGUCCUGAAUUUUUAUUUUGGAUGAUAUGACAAUGUAAUGUGUGGGGAAACAGUGCAUUUACAUUAUUGAUUAAUGUGCAUAUAUAUUUUGAGAAAUUGUGUUUAGAUGCAACUUGCCUGUUGUGCCUUACCCCAUGUUUAUCUUUAUUAUUCAGAAUUCAUAUUAUAAGAUGUGAUGUAGUGAUGACAAACUUUCUUAAUAAAAUAAAAGCCUUUAUUUGAAUUACAAAAAUAACAAUAUUAGAGCAUUGCCAGGCAAGACCAGCUGUCACUAGAGCACAGAAACAACUGUAAUACACCAACACCACAAAGAGUAAUAAAACAAAGAGCACAAACCAAACAUUAAAUAGUGCCACCACAAAAAUCCCUUAAUUUUGCAUGUCCCCUAACAUGUUCUCCUUUCUUUUUAUUCAGCGAUUAUCAUGCAUUUGGUACUGCUGUACUGCACAAGUGUGGAGGUGUGCAGUGGGACGGCAGACUGCAAGAGGAAAGGGGCAUGCAUGGGGAUGGAAGUAUUCAGGAAGGGAAGGGGUUACUAUAGGGGUGCAAGUAAACUGGGGUAGACUUGGAGCUCUGUCCAGCUGCUGCUAAAUUGCAGUUGCAUGAGCCACCCAACUAUGGAAUUGUCCAACCUGUUCCUGUUAUGUGGUGCAUGUUACUGUGGAGGGGAAUCAGGCCAUGGUGCAGAUGCAGCAGAAGCCUGCACUAAUGGCCAUUAGCAAAAGCAGCCAUUCAAACAAGGCUUUCUGCUGUGCUCUGUCCUCCUCUGUAUACCAACAUUCCUGUUCCAGGAACUACAAUACAAGUGUCUGAUCUAAUGCUACAGUUCUGUUCUGGAGCUCUGCACCCUGCCUGUGCCUUUCCGAUUGCUUCUCCACUUGCCGUGAAUCAUCUCGAUAUUGCAUGGCUUUGUCCAAAUUUUUAAGCAUAAAUUCAUGAUGGAAAAACUUCCUCUUGGACCAGUCAGUUAUGAUACUGAGACCCAAGCUUCAGCUGGAACGUGUGCAAACUGCCAAGGUACAAUAGCCUAUGGCGGUCCCUGCAAGCUGACAUGAAACAGAAAAUUAUUGUCUCAGUACUUCUCAAAUGAUUCAGUGCAUGAGCACAAAAAAAAAUCUUCGUGGAAUUUCAAGGACAAAAAAAUUAUAGUUUGUAAAAUUGAACUUCAGUAUAUUGUGAGAACGCUUCAGAUUGUAGAAGCUCUAGGGACACAGCUGGAUUAAUUGCAGUGUAAGAAAUAUAUGGAGAAUGGUAAGUCAAAAAUCACAAUUUUGUUUAAAAAUUACAGACUGCUUUCGGGAAAGGGAGGUGACUGCAGCAUAGUACAUACGCCUUCUCUAUCCUUUCAGACGUUCCACUUUUUAGAGAACAUAACAAUUCUUGUGGUUCUUGCAUGGCAAAGAGAUUUUAUUCCAAGCUUCCAGAGGCAAGUGUGCGUGCCACUGAAGUAUUCAAAUUUAUGGUGACUGAACAGCUCAUGUAUGAGUACAGUGGGUUGGUCAGUUCCUGAGGUGGCACUGGAAAAUAUGCUGUUCCCUGAAAUAUGAUACCUAUCUGGAAAAGGUUUAUGGCUAUCAACACCCAGGAUUAGGACUUCAUUCAUGGAUGAAUUCAGGAUGCUCUGUUACUAUCUGCAUGGAUUACUGCCUCCCCAUGGCUU